RNAcentral lists this ribosomal RNA (446 nucleotides) under fungal sp. RNAcentral describes it as "SSU rRNA". It matches the Rfam family "Eukaryotic small subunit ribosomal RNA", at positions 634 to 1077 of the family's 1831-position model. The record is from RNAcentral. Lineage: Eukaryota; Fungi.
UUGAAAUUUCGGGAUCUAAUAUUUUCGGUCAUGCCGUUGGUAUGCACUGUUAUCAUUGAUUUCUCACCUUCUAAAGAACCGUAAUGCCAUUAAUUUGGUGUUACGGGGAAUUAGGACUGUUACCUUGAAAAAUUAGAGUAGNNUUAAAGCAGGCUCACGCUUGAAUACAUUAGCAUGGAAUAAUGAAAUAGGACAUCCGAUUCUAUUUUGUUGGUUUCUAGGAUCGAUGUAAUGAUUAAUAGGGAUAGUUGGGGGCAUUAGUAUUCAAUUGUCAGAGGUGAAAUUCUUGGAUUUAUUGAAGACUAACUACUGCGAAAGCAUUUGCCAAGGAUGUUUUCAUUAAUCAAGAACGAAAGUUAGGGGAUCGAAGACGAUCAGAUACCGUCGUAGUCUUAACCAUAAACUAUGCCGACUAGGGAUCGGAUGAUGUUAAUUUUUAAUGACUC